RNAcentral lists this ribosomal RNA (305 nucleotides) under uncultured bacterium. Its description in RNAcentral is "bacterial SSU rRNA". It matches the Rfam family "Bacterial small subunit ribosomal RNA", at positions 335 to 657 of the family's 1533-position model. The record is from RNAcentral.
AUACCUACGGGGGGCAGCAGUGGGGAAUAUUGCACAAUGGGGGAAACCCUGAUGCAGCGACGCCGCGUGAGUGAAGAAGUAUUUCGGUAUGUAAAGCUCUAUCAGCAGGGAAGAUAAUGACGGUACCUGACUAAGAAGCCCCGGCUAACUACGUGCCAGCAGCCGCGGUAAUACGUAGGGGGCAAGCGUUAUCCGGAUUUACUGGGUGUAAAGGGAGCGUAGGUGGCAGGGCAAGUCAGAUGUGAAAGGUCGGGGCCCAACCCCGGGACUGCAUUGGAAACUGUUGAACUGGAGUACAGGGGAGG